This 76-nucleotide transfer RNA is filed under the name Nocardioides thalensis. RNAcentral's name for it is "tRNA-Arg". It matches the Rfam family "tRNA". Rfam says of the family: Transfer RNA (tRNA) molecules are approximately 80 nucleotides in length. Their secondary structure includes four short double-helical elements and three loops (D, anti-codon, and T loops). The record is from RNAcentral. Lineage: Bacteria; Bacillati; Actinomycetota; Actinomycetes; Propionibacteriales; Nocardioidaceae.
GCCUCCGUAGCUCAAUGGAUAGAGCAUCUGGUUUCUACCCAGCUGGUUGCGGGUUCGACUCCUGCCGGGGGCGCCA